GAAGGGAUAGCUCUGUGAUAGAGUGCCUGUCUAGCUUGCACGAGGUCCUGGGUUCAAUCCCCAGUGCCUCCA
This 72-nucleotide transfer RNA is filed under the name Camelus dromedarius (Arabian camel). It matches the Rfam family "tRNA". Rfam says of the family: Transfer RNA (tRNA) molecules are approximately 80 nucleotides in length. RNAcentral also lists the same sequence under 1 other name. Lineage: Eukaryota; Metazoa; Chordata; Mammalia; Artiodactyla; Camelidae. The record is from Rfam by way of RNAcentral.